This 136-nucleotide small nucleolar RNA is filed under the name Hucho hucho (huchen). Its description in RNAcentral is "Small nucleolar RNA SNORA49 (ENSHHUG00000001359.1)". It matches the Rfam family "Small nucleolar RNA SNORA49". From Rfam's summary of the family: The snoRNA ACA49 has no identified RNA target. NB genomic sequence 1-nt different from published. The record is from Rfam by way of RNAcentral. Lineage: Eukaryota; Metazoa; Chordata; Actinopteri; Salmoniformes; Salmonidae.
CUUCCCCUCCCUUACUCCAGUCACUCUGUCCCCAGUAGAGUGGUCUGGCAUUGACAGGGGAUACAGCACCACGGCUCUCUCGCCUCUCUCAUCUAAGACAUUCAUCUUAAAUUAGGCUUGUGAGAGAGCUGACAAU